GCCACCAUGGCUCAGUUGGUAGAGCGACGCAUUCGUAAUGCGUAGGUCAACGGUUCGAGUCCGUUUGGUGGCU
This 73-nucleotide transfer RNA is filed under the name Lachnospiraceae bacterium. Its description in RNAcentral is "tRNA-Thr". It matches the Rfam family "tRNA". Rfam says of the family: Transfer RNA (tRNA) molecules are approximately 80 nucleotides in length. Their secondary structure includes four short double-helical elements and three loops (D, anti-codon, and T loops). RNAcentral also lists the same sequence under 1 other name. Lineage: Bacteria; Bacillati; Bacillota; Clostridia; Lachnospirales; Lachnospiraceae. The record is from RNAcentral.